CGAACAGGCACACCAUCAGGGCAACACGUGACAGAGAUUGAGGUCAUGAUGGAGCCGACUAGAAACGCAGAGUACAGCAAGCAGGAAUACUGGGACCGGCGCUACACGGAGGAGGAGCACUAUGACUGGUUUCCCUCCGUGUACCCCAUGUGUGUCGCUGCAGCCUUUGAGACCGUUGAGGCUGUCUAUCGUGUGCAGCGCAGCACAGGGGCAUUCGAAGGCACGCUAAAGGUGUUGCAUCUUGGUACUGGUAGCUCAACCCUCUGCGCCGACAUCCGCGCCGCCUACGAGGCAAAAUAUCCGACGGAAGACUCGAGGCCCUACCGACUCGUGCAGGUGGCCACUGACUACUCUGCUGUGGUCAUCGAGCAUAUGAAGACCAAGUACGGUCCAGCCCAUCCACUGGAAGACGUACACUGGGUGGUUGCCGAUAUCCGCGAUCUCAGUCGCGUGCGUGAGCAGUUUGGUCCUUUCUUCGACGUGGUGCUGGACAAGGGCACCAUGGACGCGCUGCAGGCGGACAAGGCAAACCAGAAUAUGGACGACGACAUUGAACGGAUGCUCUGCGAGGUGAGUAGGUGCGUCGAGGGCGGUGUUGGCACGCUCGUGUAUCGUGUGUUUGUGCAGAUCACGUGGGAAAUUCCUUACUUGCGCCUUCACUACACCACGAAGAAUGCCACGCACACCUUCGCCUGGGGCACCAAUGUCACCUACCGCUUUCUGGGUGAGAGUGACAUGUACAGGAUGUACACGUACGAGGUGUCACCGCCCUCUUCCGAGUAGACCCUCCGGGGCGGAAGAGAGGAGGCGACGCGCGGCGCAAAGGUGUGGCGCUUGUCACCGCCAAAAGCGCGCCGUGCCCUCUUUCACUCUUGUCGGUAUUUGCCAGUGGUGCGCACACCUUGCACCCCUCAAGGCGUGUUACUCUGAGGGUGUCGAUUCGGCACACAAGCAACGGGGGCUGGGGGGACACGCAAGCGCGCACAUUAACAAAGAGCGGGGGAGUGUCGGACUGAGAGAAAGCCGGAGACGCUCGCAGUAUUGUCUGCUCAGUGUACAAGUCGUUGGUUGUACUUACACAAAGGCCUGUUUCUCUACGACCACACGACGGUCGAAAAGGAUGCAGUGGGGGGAAGCAAUGUUGCCUCUGUCUUUCGUUUUCUUCCCGUUGAAGAGCGUCCGCGUGCCUUGAGGAGCUCAUGCCGCUAAGCACGUGUAGGAGAACUCUGCGCGCUCGGCAUUGUCGGAGCGGCGGGGGGAGGGCCCGCCAUAGCCCCCCUCCCCUUCCCUAUCACUCCCUUUCGCACCCCACCCUGCCGCUGCAACAGCUCUCUCAGUGUCGUUGUCAUUGCAGCCUCAGCCAUCUGCGUUUCGGUGUGUGUGUGUGUCCACUUUCUCUUCUCCGCUCCCCCUCCUCUAACUUGGCCGCCGCCCCCCCCCUCCCUCCCUCCACUCUUCUUGUAAG
This 1465-nucleotide unclassified non-coding RNA is filed under the name Leishmania donovani. RNAcentral's name for it is "gene:LdHU3.04.0100(CDS-product:hypothetical_prote in_conserved)". The record is from RNAcentral. Lineage: Eukaryota; Euglenozoa; Kinetoplastea; Trypanosomatida; Trypanosomatidae.